This is a non-coding RNA of Bos taurus (domestic cattle), 74 nucleotides long. The record is from Rfam. Lineage: Eukaryota; Metazoa; Chordata; Mammalia; Artiodactyla; Bovidae.
UCCCUGGUGGUCCAGUGGCUAGGACUCUGAGCUCCCAAUGCAGAGGGGCCUGGGUUCGAUCCCUGGUCAGGAAA